CAGCACAACUGAAUAGGCUCCUCAAGGGCGGUCGGCUCAUCCCCUCAUGAAAGGGGGUGAGAUCGGUAUGACGGAAUUUCAAAUUCUGACAGUCGUGAUUGCAUUCGGUACGCUAGUAGCUGCGAUCAUUUUCGGAAUUUUGACGAUUAUUCUCGGCAUACUCAACCUAACCAAAAAGAAAUAGACCUCCCUUGAGCUUCCCCGGCUUGGAAGAGGUCUAUUUCUAAACUUUCGAGCCGACACCCUUGACGGGUAUCAGUUUUGCAAACGACCGUGGGUGUAUCUAGCACCUGCG
This 295-nucleotide small RNA is filed under the name Tumebacillus permanentifrigoris. RNAcentral's name for it is "BsrG". It matches the Rfam family "BsrG". From Rfam's summary of the family: bsrE, bsrG and bsrH pair through intermolecular interactions with antisense sRNAs. SR4 interaction with the 3'UTR of bsrG RNA promotes bsrG degradation and inhibits its translation. The record is from RNAcentral. Lineage: Bacteria; Bacillati; Bacillota; Bacilli; Caryophanales; Alicyclobacillaceae.